This is a transfer RNA of Phytophthora megakarya, 65 nucleotides long. It matches the Rfam family "tRNA". From Rfam's summary of the family: Transfer RNA (tRNA) molecules are approximately 80 nucleotides in length. NCBI's taxonomy places the organism in Eukaryota, Oomycota, Peronosporomycetes, Peronosporales, Peronosporaceae. The record is from Rfam.
AUCGAUGUAGCUCAACGGAAGAGCUCCCGAAUAAGAAGGUGGUGGUUCGAUUCCACCCAUCGAUA